Molecule: small nucleolar RNA, 86 nt
Filed under: Drosophila mojavensis
Lineage: Eukaryota; Metazoa; Arthropoda; Insecta; Diptera; Drosophilidae
Description: snoRNA:GI25379
Source: RNAcentral
ACUGUGAUGACAAACUUACCCAGCUCGCUUCGAUCUACCAUGAAGAGAACUGUUCCAAUCCAACGCAAAAUACUAAACAGCUGAUU